GGAGGUGGCUGUAAGCUCAGUGGUAGAGUGUCUGCUUGCUGUGCAGAAAGGGUCCCAGAGUUCAAUCCUUGGCUGACAUCUCCA
This 84-nucleotide transfer RNA is filed under the name Sphaerodactylus townsendi. Its description in RNAcentral is "tRNA-Ser". It matches the Rfam family "tRNA". From Rfam's summary of the family: Transfer RNA (tRNA) molecules are approximately 80 nucleotides in length. Their secondary structure includes four short double-helical elements and three loops (D, anti-codon, and T loops). Further hydrogen bonds mediate the characteristic L-shaped molecular structure. tRNAs have two regions of fundamental functional importance: the anti-codon, which is responsible for specific mRNA codon recognition, and the 3' end, to which the tRNAs corresponding amino acid is attached (by aminoacyl-tRNA synthetases). tRNAs cope with the degeneracy of the genetic code in two manners: having more than one tRNA (with a specific anti-codon) for a particular amino acid; and 'wobble' base-pairing, i.e. permitting non-standard base-pairing at the 3rd anti-codon position. The record is from RNAcentral. Lineage: Eukaryota; Metazoa; Chordata; Lepidosauria; Squamata; Sphaerodactylidae.